This is a long non-coding RNA of Mesocricetus auratus (golden hamster), 991 nucleotides long. RefSeq lists it as uncharacterized. Lineage: Eukaryota; Metazoa; Chordata; Mammalia; Rodentia; Cricetidae. The record is from RefSeq and is a predicted model, not a curated record. The transcript has 3 exons.
UUCAUCCAGCAUGCUUGGAAAGGCUUCUAGAAGGCCACGUUGGUGGGGGCAGGGUGCCUUCAAAGCACCUGAUCUCUGACCUUUAAAAGACAAACGACAAGGGCGACAAAGCGGCUUGCCAACCUCUGAAGGAGAACCCGAGGCACACUUAGGGGGAUUUCACAGUCGUCUGUGGAAGAUUUGCAUCGAUGGAUGCCCUCCGUCUAUCCUGGAAGAGAAACUCCCUUAAGGUCCAAGGGGCCUGCGUUUGAGAAACAGACUACGGCGGGAGACUUUUCCAAAUUUCAAGGUCAUGCUUGCUUCCUACCAGAGAGCCGUGGAGAAGGUUGUUGGGGAUGCUCUGAUGGUGUCAAGAAACACCUUUGUCAUCCAUUACUGGAGGACAGGUGCCCUGUCCCUGAGUCCUCUGGAUUGACACACUCCCUACCGGGAGACAGAAGGAGGCCAUACAUGGCUUGCAAAGCUCAGAAUGUUGGCACCAGUCCCCUCCCUAAGGUUAUAGAAGUCCUGAAGAACUGGGGGAGAGAGGAGACCUGUGGAGCUGCCGGCAGGUCAAAGCCUUUGCUCACUGACGUUGAAUGGCAGAACGCACUGGCAUAGCACGCCAUCCUUAGCUUCCAUGUCUAAGACGGUGUAAGCAUUGAAAACCAUCAAGGUCCCACAAUGAGACAUCGCUUGAGUAAUCUGGAGAAUUACUGUGUGCGUGGCUCAUGGGGGAACUGCAGCCCCCAGCAAUUCCACAUCUGGAUACACACCCAGAAGCGUGAGAACGCAGAGGCCGGAACAGAUGUUGAUGUAUCUGCACUCAAGGCCGCACAAUCCUAACAGCCAAAAACGUGGACACAACCCAAGCGUUGGCGGCGGGUGAAGCAAGCAGAGAGUGGUGUCUGUCUGUGACGAGUGUGUUAUGACAGACAAGGGACGGGCAUGGUUGUGUCUUCCUGUGUUCUCAGAACUUACUAACAAGUGGCGGUGACUUAAAUGGCAGCAA